This 301-nucleotide ribosomal RNA is filed under the name uncultured bacterium. RNAcentral's name for it is "partial 16S ribosomal RNA". It matches the Rfam family "Bacterial small subunit ribosomal RNA", at positions 509 to 807 of the family's 1533-position model. The record is from RNAcentral.
CAGUAGCCGCGGUAAUACGAAGGGGGCUAGCGUUGUUCGGAAUUACUGGGCGUAAAGCGCACGUAGGCGGAUAUUUAAGUCAGGGGUGAAAUCCCGCAGCUCAACUGCGGAACUGCCUUUGAUACUGGGUAUCUUGAGUAUGGAAGAGGUUAGUGGAAUUGCGAGUGUAGAGGUGAAAUUCGUAGAUAUUCGCAGGAACACCAGUGGCGAAGGCGGCUAACUGGUCCAUAACUGACGCUAAGGUGCGAAAGCGUGGGGAGCAAACAGGAUUAGAUACCCCUGUAGUCCCUGUCUCUUAUAC